This 498-nucleotide ribosomal RNA is filed under the name uncultured bacterium. RNAcentral describes it as "partial 16S ribosomal RNA". It matches the Rfam family "Bacterial small subunit ribosomal RNA", at positions 28 to 507 of the family's 1533-position model. The record is from RNAcentral.
GACGAACGCUGGCGGCGUGCCUAAUACAUGCAAGUCGAGCGGACGAAUCGAAAGCUUGCUUUUGAUUCGUUAGCGGCGGACGGGUGAGUAACACGUGGGCAACCUGCCCUGUAGACGGGGAUAACACCGAGAAAUCGGUGCUAAUACCGGAUAACACGAAAUGUCGCAUGACGUUUCGUUGAAAGACGGCGCAAGCUGUCGCUACAGGAUGGGCCCGCGGCGCAUUAGCUAGUUGGUGAGGUAACGGCCCACCAAGGCGACGAUGCGUAGCCGACCUGAGAGGGUGAUCGGCCACACUGGGACUGAGACACGGCCCAGACUCCUACGGGAGGCAGCAGUAAGGAAUCUUCCGCAAUGGACUAAAGUCUGACGGAGCAACGCCGCGUGAGCGAAGAAGGCCUUCGGGUCGUAAAGCUCUGUUGUUAGGGAAGAACAAGUAACGCAGUAACUGGCGUUACCGUGACGGUACCUAACGAGAAAGCCACGGCUAACUACGUG